RNAcentral lists this ribosomal RNA (497 nucleotides) under uncultured bacterium. RNAcentral's name for it is "partial 16S ribosomal RNA". It matches the Rfam family "Bacterial small subunit ribosomal RNA", at positions 28 to 507 of the family's 1533-position model. The record is from RNAcentral.
GAUGAACGCUGGCGGCGUGCCUAAUACAUGCAAGUCGAGCGAACAGACGAGGAGCUUGCUCCUCUGAUGUUAGCGGCGGACGGGUGAGUAACACGUGGAUAACCUACCUAUAAGACUGGGAUAACUUCGGGAAACCGGAGCUAAUACCGGAUAACAUGUUGAACCGCAUGGUUCAACAGUGAAAGACGGUCUUGCUGUCACUUAUAGAUGGAUCCGCGCCGCAUUAGCUAGUUGGUAAGGUAACGGCUUACCAAGGCAACGAUGCGUAGCCGACCUGAGAGGGUGAUCGGCCACACUGGAGCUGAGACACGGUCCAGACUCCUACGGGAGGCAGCAGUAGGGAAUCUUCCGCAAUGGGCGAAAGCCUGACGGAGCAACCCCGCGUGAGUGACGAAGGUCUUCGGAUCGUAAAACUCUGUUAUUAGGGAAGAACAAAUGUGUAAGUAACUAUGCCCGUCUUGACGGUACCUAAUCAGAAAGCCACGGCUAACUACGUG